ACAGUGGAACGUGUAACCCGCCUGUCAGUGAAGCUCUCUAUUCACAUCCCCCUCAAAGUUUUUGAAUUGGAGUUCAGUUUUUUGUUUGAUAUUUUAUACAUAUGCAAUAGUUGAUAGGGAUAGCUAAGUUAUGUUCAUAAUCUUGAUAUUGCACCCUUUUGGUCUCUCAACCAAACAUCAUUAUGAGAUUUUAGUUUAAUUAGGAGAGUAUAGUAGAUGGAUCUAGUAGCUAUUAGCUAGGUUUCUAAAUUAUUAUGUAGUAAUUAUUAUGUGAGAGAAUAACUAAGUUCACAAUGUGG
Molecule: unclassified non-coding RNA, 299 nt
Filed under: Hevea brasiliensis (rubber tree)
Lineage: Eukaryota; Viridiplantae; Streptophyta; Magnoliopsida; Malpighiales; Euphorbiaceae
Source: RNAcentral